Molecule: ribosomal RNA, 468 nt
Filed under: uncultured bacterium
Lineage: Bacteria
Description: partial 16S ribosomal RNA
Rfam family: Bacterial small subunit ribosomal RNA
Source: RNAcentral
GACGAACGCUGGCGGCGUGCUUAACACAUGCAAGUCGAACGGAAAGGCCCUGCUUUUGUGGGGUGCUCGAGUGGCGAACGGGUGAGUAACACGUGAGUAACCUGCCCUUGACUUUGGGAUAACUUCAGGAAACUGGGGCUAAUACCGGAUAGGAGCUCCUGCUGCAUGGUGGGGGUUGGAAAGUGUCGGCGGUGGGGGAUGGACUCGCGGCUUAUCAGCUUGUUGGUGGGGUAGUGGCUUACCAAGGCUUUGACGGGUAGCCGGCCUGAGAGGGUGACCGGCCACAUUGGGACUGAGAUACGGCCCAGACUCCUACGGGCGGCAGCAGUGGGGAAUAUUGCACAAUGGGCGGACGCCUGAUGCAGCAACGCCGCGUGCGGGAUGACGGCCUUCGGGUUGUAAACCGCUUUCGCCUGUGACGAAGCGUGAGUGACGGUAAUGGGUAAAGAAGCACCGGCUAACUACGUG